This 483-nucleotide ribosomal RNA is filed under the name uncultured Anoxybacillus sp. Its description in RNAcentral is "bacterial SSU rRNA". It matches the Rfam family "Bacterial small subunit ribosomal RNA", at positions 902 to 1382 of the family's 1533-position model. The record is from RNAcentral. Lineage: Bacteria; Bacillati; Bacillota; Bacilli; Caryophanales; Anoxybacillaceae.
CAAAUGAAUUGACGGGGCCCGCACAAGCGGUGGAGCAUGUGGUUUAAUUCGAAGCAACGCGAAGAACCUUACCAGGUCUUGACAUCCCCUGACAACCCGAGAGAUCGGGCGUUCCCCCCUUCGGGGGACAGGGUGACAGGUGGUGCAUGGUUGUCGUCAGCUCGUGUCGUGAGAUGUUGGGUUAAGUCCCGCAACGAGCGCAACCCUCGACCUUAGUUGCCAGCAUUCAGUUGGGCACUCUAAGGUGACUGCCGGCUAAAAGUCGGAGGAAGGUGGGGAUGACGUCAAAUCAUCAUGCCCCUUAUGACCUGGGCUACACACGUGCUACAAUGGGCGGUACAAAGGGUCGCGAACCCGCGAGGGGGAGCCAAUCCCAAAAAGCCGCUCUCAGUUCGGAUUGCAGGCUGCAACUCGCCUGCAUGAAGCCGGAAUCGCUAGUAAUCGCGGAUCAGCAUGCCGCGGUCGAAUACGUUCCCGGGCCUU